UGGCCGUAAACGAUGUGGACUUGGUGUUGGAAUGGCUCCGAGCUGCUCCAGUGCCGAAGGGAAGCUGUUAGGUCCGCCGCCUGGGAAGUACGGUCGCAAGACUGAAACUUAAAGGAAUUGGCGGGGGGAGCACCACAACGCGUGGAGCCUGCGGUUUAAUUGGACUCAACGCCGGACAACUCACCGGGAACGACAGCAAUAUGUAGGCCAGGCUGAAGACCUUGCCUGAAUCGCUGAGAGGUGGUGCAUGGCGUAGACGUCU
RNAcentral lists this ribosomal RNA (262 nucleotides) under uncultured archaeon. RNAcentral's name for it is "partial 16S ribosomal RNA". It matches the Rfam family "Archaeal small subunit ribosomal RNA", at positions 748 to 1009 of the family's 1478-position model. The record is from RNAcentral.